GGGUUGUGAGGUUAAGCGACUAAGCGUACACGGUGGAUGCCCUGGCAGUCAGAGGCGAUGAAGGACGUGCUAAUCUGCGAUAAGCGUCGGUAAGGUGAUAUGAACCGUUAUAACCGGCGAUUUCCGAAUGGGGAAACCCAGUGUGAUUCGUCACACUAUCAUUAACUGAAUCCAUAGGUUAAUGAGGCGAACCGGGGGAACUGAAACAUCUAAGUACCCCGAGGAAAAGAAAUCAACCGAGAUUCCCCCAGUAGCGGCGAGCGAACGGGGAGCAGCCCAGAGCCUGAAUCAGUGUGUGUGUUAGUGGAAGCGUCUGGAAAGGCGCGCGAUACAGGGUGACAGCCCCGUACACAAAAAUGCACAUACUGUGAGCUCGAUGAGUAGGGCGGGACACGUGGUAUCCUGUCUGAAUAUGGGGGGACCAUCCUCCAAGGCUAAAUACUCCUGACUGACCGAUAGUGAACCAGUACCGUGAGGGAAAGGCGAAAAGAACCCCGGCGAGGGGAGUGAAAAAGAACCUGAAACCGUGUACGUACAAGCAGUGGGAGCACGCUUAGGCGUGUGACUGCGUACCUUUUGUAUAAUGGGUCAGCGACUUAUAUUCUGUAGCAAGGUUAACCGAAUAGGGGAGCCGAAGGGAAACCGAGUCUUAACUGGGCGUUAAGUUGCAGGGUAUAGACCCGAAACCCGGUGAUCUAGCCAUGGGCAGGUUGAAGGUUGGGUAACACUAACUGGAGGACCGAACCGACUAAUGUUGAAAAAUUAGCGGAUGACUUGUGGCUGGGGGUGAAAGGCCAAUCAAACCGGGAGAUAGCUGGUUCUCCCCGAAAGCUAUUUAGGUAGCGCCUCGUGAAUUCAUCUCCGGGGGUAGAGCACUGUUUCGGCAAGGGGGUCAUCCCGACUUACCAACCCGAUGCAAACUGCGAAUACCGGAGAAUGUUAUCACGGGAGACACACGGCGGGUGCUAACGUCCGUCGUGAAGAGGGAAACAACCCAGACCGCCAGCUAAGGUCCCAAAGUCAUGGUUAAGUGGGAAACGAUGUGGGAAGGCCCAGACAGCCAGGAUGUUGGCUUAGAAGCAGCCAUCAUUUAAAGAAAGCGUAAUAGCUCACUGGUCGAGUCGGCCUGCGCGGAAGAUGUAACGGGGCUAAACCAUGCACCGAAGCUGCGGCAGCGACGCUUAUGCGUUGUUGGGUAGGGGAGCGUUCUGUAAGCCUGCGAAGGUGUGCUGUGAGGCAUGCUGGAGGUAUCAGAAGUGCGAAUGCUGACAUAAGUAACGAUAAAGCGGGUGAAAAGCCCGCUCGCCGGAAGACCAAGGGUUCCUGUCCAACGUUAAUCGGGGCAGGGUGAGUCGACCCCUAAGGCGAGGCCGAAAGGCGUAGUCGAUGGGAAACAGGUUAAUAUUCCUGUACUUGGUGUUACUGCGAAGGGGGGACGGAGAAGGCUAUGUUGGCCGGGCGACGGUUGUCCCGGUUUAAGCGUGUAGGCUGGUUUUCCAGGCAAAUCCGGAAAAUCAAGGCUGAGGCGUGAUGACGAGGCACUACGGUGCUGAAGCAACAAAUGCCCUGCUUCCAGGAAAAGCCUCUAAGCAUCAGGUAACAUCAAAUCGUACCCCAAACCGACACAGGUGGUCAGGUAGAGAAUACCAAGGCGCUUGAGAGAACUCGGGUGAAGGAACUAGGCAAAAUGGUGCCGUAACUUCGGGAGAAGGCACGCUGAUAUGUAGGUGAAGUCCCUCGCGGAUGGAGCUGAAAUCAGUCGAAGAUACCAGCUGGCUGCAACUGUUUAUUAAAAACACAGCACUGUGCAAACACGAAAGUGGACGUAUACGGUGUGACGCCUGCCCGGUGCCGGAAGGUUAAUUGAUGGGGUUAGCGCAAGCGAAGCUCUUGAUCGAAGCCCCGGUAAACGGCGGCCGUAACUAUAACGGUCCUAAGGUAGCGAAAUUCCUUGUCGGGUAAGUUCCGACCUGCACGAAUGGCGUAAUGAUGGCCAGGCUGUCUCCACCCGAGACUCAGUGAAAUUGAACUCGCUGUGAAGAUGCAGUGUACCCGCGGCAAGACGGAAAGACCCCGUGAACCUUUACUAUAGCUUGACACUGAACAUUGAGCCUUGAUGUGUAGGAUAGGUGGGAGGCUUUGAAGUGUGGACGCCAGUCUGCAUGGAGCCGACCUUGAAAUACCACCCUUUAAUGUUUGAUGUUCUAACGUUGACCCGUGAUCCGGGUUGCGGACAGUGUCUGGUGGGUAGUUUGACUGGGGCGGUCUCCUCCUAAAGAGUAACGGAGGAGCACGAAGGUUGGCUAAUCCUGGUCGGACAUCAGGAGGUUAGUGCAAUGGCAUAAGCCAGCUUGACUGCGAGCGUGACGGCGCGAGCAGGUGCGAAAGCAGGUCAUAGUGAUCCGGUGGUUCUGAAUGGAAGGGCCAUCGCUCAACGGAUAAAAGGUACUCCGGGGAUAACAGGCUGAUACCGCCCAAGAGUUCAUAUCGACGGCGGUGUUUGGCACCUCGAUGUCGGCUCAUCACAUCCUGGGGCUGAAGUAGGUCCCAAGGGUAUGGCUGUUCGCCAUUUAAAGUGGUACGCGAGCUGGGUUUAGAACGUCGUGAGACAGUUCGGUCCCUAUCUGCCGUGGGCGCUGGAGAACUGAGGGGGGCUGCUCCUAGUACGAGAGGACCGGAGUGGACGCAUCACUGGUGUUCGGGUUGUCAUGCCAAUGGCACUGCCCGGUAGCUAAAUGCGGAAGAGAUAAGUGCUGAAAGCAUCUAAGCACGAAACUUGCCCCGAGAUGAGUUCUCCCUGACUCCUUGAGAGUCCUGAAGGAACGUUGAAGACGACGACGUUGAUAGGCCGGGUGUGUAAGCGCAGCGAUGCGUUGAGCUAACCGGUACUAAUGAACCGUGAGGCUUAACCUUACAACGCCGAAGGUGUUU
This 2931-nucleotide ribosomal RNA is filed under the name Escherichia coli. Its description in RNAcentral is "23S ribosomal RNA". It matches the Rfam family "Bacterial large subunit ribosomal RNA". The record is from RNAcentral. Lineage: Bacteria; Pseudomonadati; Pseudomonadota; Gammaproteobacteria; Enterobacterales; Enterobacteriaceae.